AGAUUAAUUGUCCGUUUCCAUUUGAGUUUGACACCAUUGUCCUACGGCAUCCUAUUUUGCCCUUGAAGAUUCUGAUGUUUGGGAUACCCCUCCUUACAUGAAACAAAGGGAAGGCCAUGGAGCAUGGUGGAUAGAGAGCUGACCUUGGGACCAGGAAAGUGCUGCAGAAGCAGGAUCUGAGAAGCUAUUCUCCAGGUUUUGCCACUCCCUGAGCUGGGACAAGAAAUCAGCAGAUAUGUGCCUGGGGUGAAGGACCGUCAAUUCAUCUGUGGAGGGGUGGCUGUGUCACCCCUGGAAUGCUUCAAGACUGCAAUGAGAAAGGCAGCAAGACCUCUCCUGCAUUGACAAAUGAUGACAAGGUGGACAAUGGAGGAACAUAGAACCUGUACUCUGGGGACUCUGGCAUUCCAGAGGAAAACUUUCC
This 424-nucleotide long non-coding RNA is filed under the name Monodelphis domestica (gray short-tailed opossum). Its description in RNAcentral is "lncRNA (ENSMODG00000049890.1)". The record is from RNAcentral. Lineage: Eukaryota; Metazoa; Chordata; Mammalia; Didelphimorphia; Didelphidae.